Long non-coding RNA from Momordica charantia (bitter melon), 438 nucleotides. RefSeq lists it as uncharacterized. The record is from RefSeq and is a predicted model, not a curated record. NCBI's taxonomy places the organism in Eukaryota, Viridiplantae, Streptophyta, Magnoliopsida, Cucurbitales, Cucurbitaceae.
AAUAUUUUCUUUUAAAAAAAAUCUUGUUUUGAAAAAUACUUUUGUCUUUCGUCCAUAGCUCGCCCUCUUCAGCCAUCACUCAGCGCAGUCCUGAUCUCCCUGGCAUUUGCCGUCGAGCCGCCGGCGCCAUCCGUUGCUAUCAACGCGCUGUCGUAGAUACAGAUUAUCACUCGCGCUCUCCGCACUAUCUUUGAUUAUCAUGUGAAGGCAACAAUGGAUAGAUACAAGAAGGCAUCCUCAGAUUCCUCCAACACUGGAUCUACUUCUGAAGCUAACACUCAGUGAGUCCAGUGUUCUCAAGGUGCACCCAGUCGCUUACGGUGAGGGGCAAGGUGUUUUCACCUAGCCCCACCUUGAACGGCAUCGAUCCGGUGCGCGCCUUGCCUUGCCUUGGCACACCAUCGCCAUAAGGCAAGGCGAGCGCCUCUUUGAAGCGAG